RNAcentral lists this unclassified non-coding RNA (23 nucleotides) under Arabidopsis thaliana (thale cress). The record is from RNAcentral. Lineage: Eukaryota; Viridiplantae; Streptophyta; Magnoliopsida; Brassicales; Brassicaceae.
UCACGCGUGUGCCACUUGCACUA